CCUACGGGCGGCAGCAGUGGGGAAUCUUCCGCAAUGGACGAAAGUCUGACGGAGCAACGCCGCGUGAACGAAGAAGGUCUUCGGAUUGUAAAGUUCUGUGAUUCGGGACGAAAGGGUAAAUAGUGAAUAACUAUAGACAUUGACGGUACCGAAAAAGCAAGCCACGGCUAACUACGUGCCAGCAGCCGCGGUAAUACGUAGGUGGCAAGCGUUGUCCGGAAUUAUUGGGCGUAAAGCGCGCGCAGGCGGUUUCUUAAGUCCAUCUUAAAAGCGUGGGGCUCAACCCCAUGAGGGGAUGGAAACUGGGAAGCUGGAGUAUCGGAGAGGAAAGUGGAAUUCCUAGUGUAGCGGUGAAAUGCGUAGAGAUUAGGAAGAACACCGGUGGCGAAGGCGACUUUCUAGACGAAAACUGACGCUGAGGCGCGAAAGCGUGGGGAGCAAACAGGAUUAGAUACCCUUGUAGUC
RNAcentral lists this ribosomal RNA (465 nucleotides) under uncultured Dialister sp. RNAcentral describes it as "bacterial SSU rRNA". It matches the Rfam family "Bacterial small subunit ribosomal RNA", at positions 338 to 795 of the family's 1533-position model. Lineage: Bacteria; Bacillati; Bacillota; Negativicutes; Veillonellales; Veillonellaceae. The record is from RNAcentral.